GAGGGUAAACUAAGCAUAUCCGAAAAUCUUCGGAUAAGCUCGGUUGAUCCUAUUU
This 55-nucleotide microRNA precursor is filed under the name Parasteatoda tepidariorum (common house spider). RNAcentral's name for it is "microRNA pte-mir-11959 precursor (pte-mir-11959-1, pte-mir-11959-2)". The record is from miRBase by way of RNAcentral. Lineage: Eukaryota; Metazoa; Arthropoda; Arachnida; Araneae; Theridiidae.